AUGGCGCCGGUGAGUCUGCCGCCGGGCUUCCGGUUUCACCCAACUGACGAGGAGCUCAUCAUCUACUACCUUAAGAGCAAGAUCAACGGGAGGCAGAUUGAGCUCGAGAUCAUCCCGGAGGUUGAUCUUUACAAGUGCGAGCCUUGGGACCUUCCAGAAAAGUCAUUCCUCCCAAGCAAAGACCUGGAAUGGUACUUCUUCAGCCCGCGAGACCGCAAGUACCCGAACGGAUCGAGGACGAACCGCGCAACCAAAGCCGGAUACUGGAAGGCAACUGGGAAAGACCGCAAAGUGAAUUCCCAGAAGCGUGCAGUUGGUAUGAAGAAGACCCUUGUGUACUACCGUGGCCGAGCCCCGCAUGGGUCUCGCACCGACUGGGUCAUGCACGAGUACCGCCUCGACGAGAGGGAAUGCGAGAUCGAUAAUGGCUUACAGGAUGCGUAUGCAUUGUGUCGGAUUUUCAAGAAGACAGCACCCGGGCCAAAGAUCAUGGAGCACUACGGCGCAGCGCAGUACCACGGGGAGCAGCCUCAGUGGACGCCGAGCAGCGUCGAGCGCUCCCCGACACCAUGUGAUGGAAGAGGUGGUGGUGAUGACUUCGAGAGCAGCAGCUUCUCAUUCCCGACGGAGGCCCCAAUGACUUCAGGAUCCAUGCACGGCAGUGGGUUCGGGAUGCAGAUGAUGGGCAGCAUGCCUCACGAGGACGGCAGGUGGAUGCAGUUCUUGAGUGAAGACGCCUUCAACGCCACCAACCCCUACUUCAUGAACCCAGCUGCUGCCUCCAACUUCUCAUGCCUUCCAUCCAAGGUGGAUGUUGCACUGGAGUGUGCAAGGCUGCAACACAGGCUGGCCCUGCCGCCAUUGGAGGUGGAGGACUUCCCGCAUGACGUCAGCCUUGACACGAAGACCGGCAUACUCCAGAGCAACCCCAACGAGGUCGACAUUCUCCAGGAGUUCCUGUCGGUGGCCUCGGCGUCUCAGGAGCUGAUCAAUGGCUCCGGCAGCAGCAGCAGCUACCCUGAUAUGUGGUUAGGUGCCGGCACCAGCAGUGGCGGCGGCCACUACAUGAACGAGCUGUCCUCUCUCGUUGAUCUCGGAGCGGCGAAGGCGAAGGAGGAGGUCGACAAUUUCUACCAUAUGUGCGGCAUUGGCGCGUCAAUGAUGAGGCGUGAUGACGAACCCGGCAGGCUGGUUGAGAUCAGUGACAUGCAGGAGUUCAAGGAAGAGAAGAAGCGGCCGGUUGAGAACCUCAGAGGUGUCAAGCUGGUGAACAAUGACCUUGGAGAGAUCGUGGUGGAAGGAGAUGAAAGCAAUCCAGCAGAAGGCAUCACGCACUAUCCUAUACAAGAUACUGCAGAGAAUUCAGGAGAAGCCGGUCACCACAUGACCGAUCAUACCACUGACGAAGGCGGCAUCGACACGGGCCCUAUCUUCUCGCAAUCUCAGCCUGACGACUUCGCUCUCGCUAUUGGUUUCGACAACGACGGCGACGACAACACCAACCCCAACGCGUCCUUGGACCUGUACGGGAAGGUCGACGUGCAGCGCGGUCUCUUCGUCUCGCGGGUCGGCGCGGCGAAGACAUUCUUCCACCGCGUCGAGCCGCCGAAGAAGGUCAGCUUCCACCUGAAUCCAGCAGCGAGCGAGGUCAGCAAGGCGAUCGAGAAGUUCCAUUAUCUCCCCGUCACGUCCAAAGUUAGUGGUAGCGGUAGUAGCAGUAGCAGGGUCUCCGUCUUUGGCAAGGUGAAGGCACUCAUCAGGGGCAAAUUCCCGACGAUGAGGAGGCCGCCAUCACCAUUGCAGCACCAGAGGCCGGAGACGACAGUGAGUGAGCUGCUGCAGAUCGUGUCACUCCUCCUGGCACCCAAGGAAGCCGUAACCGAGCGAGAAGAAGAGAUGGUCAGCAGGAAGAAGGUGAAGCCGGGACGACGGGGUUGCGACGGUGGGUGCAGCAGCUCGUGGCAGCUUGGGCUCCCCGGCAAGGGGAGCAAGGGUAUUUCCAGCAUGUUUUUGAGUGGGAAAUGGGCGUUUCUAACCUCUGCAUUGGCGGCCGUCCGCGCCCCAGGGCCGUGCAAUCACUUCUGA
RNAcentral lists this ribosomal RNA (2085 nucleotides) under Triticum aestivum (bread wheat). RNAcentral describes it as "partial small subunit ribosomal RNA". Lineage: Eukaryota; Viridiplantae; Streptophyta; Magnoliopsida; Poales; Poaceae. The record is from RNAcentral.